GUGCUCGCCUGGGCAGCACAUGUGCUAAAGUUGGAGGGAUGCAGAGAUUAGCAUGGCCCUCAUGCAAGGAUGGCACACAAAAAUGUGAUGCAUUCCACAUUUUC
Eptesicus fuscus (big brown bat) is the source of this 104-nucleotide small nuclear RNA. NCBI's taxonomy places the organism in Eukaryota, Metazoa, Chordata, Mammalia, Chiroptera, Vespertilionidae. The record is from RefSeq and is a predicted model, not a curated record.